UCCGACAAGGGCAAACCCGGAGAAAUCCGGAGACGCAAAGCCACGGGCCCUCAUCCUUCAAUACCGCCACUUUCGCCGCGACAGCCCUGGCUGCAGCGGCCGAAUCGGCGAAGGGGGAAAGGGUCGCCGGGCUACCGAAG
RNAcentral lists this non-coding RNA (140 nucleotides) under Desulfuromonas soudanensis. Its description in RNAcentral is "c-di-GMP sequence". It matches the Rfam family "c-di-GMP-I-GGC riboswitch aptamer". Lineage: Bacteria; Pseudomonadati; Thermodesulfobacteriota; Desulfuromonadia; Desulfuromonadales; Desulfuromonadaceae. The record is from Rfam by way of RNAcentral.